This 148-nucleotide non-coding RNA is filed under the name Pan troglodytes (chimpanzee). Lineage: Eukaryota; Metazoa; Chordata; Mammalia; Primates; Hominidae. The record is from Rfam by way of RNAcentral.
GCCGGGCAUGGGGGCGCAUGCCUGUAGUCCCAGCUACUCAGGAGGCUGAGGCUGGAGAAUCACUUGAACCCAGGAGGCAGAGGUUGCAGUGAGCCGAGAUCAUGCCACUGCACUCUGGCCUGGGCGACAGAGCGAGACUCUGUCUCAA